UACGUAGGGUGCAAGCGUUAAUCGGAAUUACUGGGCGUAAAGGGCGCGUAGGCGGCUUUGCGUGUCUUUCGUGAAAUCCCUCGGCUCAACUGAGGACGUGCGGAAGAAAACUGCAGGGCUGGAGUCCGGGAGAGGAGGGUGGAAUUCCCCAGUGUAGCGGUGAAAAUGCGUAGAUAUUGGGAGGAACACCGGUGGCGAAGGCGGCCCUCUGGACCGGUACUGACGCUGAUGCGCGAAAGCGUGGGGGAGCAAACGGG
RNAcentral lists this ribosomal RNA (257 nucleotides) under uncultured bacterium. Its description in RNAcentral is "partial 16S ribosomal RNA". It matches the Rfam family "Bacterial small subunit ribosomal RNA", at positions 524 to 776 of the family's 1533-position model. The record is from RNAcentral.